Molecule: non-coding RNA, 134 nt
Organism: Python bivittatus (Burmese python)
Lineage: Eukaryota; Metazoa; Chordata; Lepidosauria; Squamata; Pythonidae
Source: RefSeq, a predicted model, not a curated record
AGCUUUGCACAGUGGCCGUAUCGUAGCCAAUGAGGUUAAUCCAAGGCACGAUUAUUGCUAAUUGAAAACCUAGUAAGGCAAGUUUGACAGUUUCUGUAUCUCCACCACAUAGGCAGACCAUGGAUUUGAAUGGA